CAUAAACUGUAACUUGAAACACCUAUAUAUGUGUAAAACAUAUUUAUAAAACACGCCAAAGUGACCAAGUUUCUGACAUGUUGCAAGACCGACAUGUUGCAUCACCGAGCUUGGCUUUUCAUAUGUUACUAUUUGAGAACUUUUACUUUAAGUUAGUCACUUGGAGGUCCAUUUGCUUGAAAAAAGAAGACCACAGUGCCGACCAAAGGAGCCCCACUUACCAGUAAAAGCCUUUUUGUGCAUUUGUACUUAGGAUUUGUCUUGCCAAAAUGUG
Long non-coding RNA from Actinia tenebrosa (Australian red waratah sea anemone), 274 nucleotides. RefSeq lists it as uncharacterized. The record is from RefSeq and is a predicted model, not a curated record. Lineage: Eukaryota; Metazoa; Cnidaria; Anthozoa; Actiniaria; Actiniidae.